This 663-nucleotide ribosomal RNA is filed under the name uncultured Bacilli bacterium. Its description in RNAcentral is "bacterial SSU rRNA". It matches the Rfam family "Bacterial small subunit ribosomal RNA", at positions 76 to 716 of the family's 1533-position model. Lineage: Bacteria; Bacillati; Bacillota; Bacilli. The record is from RNAcentral.
UACUUCGGUAAUGACGUUAGGAAAGCGAGCGGCGGAUGGGUGAGUAACACGUGGGGAACCUGCCCCAUAGUCUGGGAUACCACUUGGAAACAGGUGCUAAUACCGGAUAAGAAAGCAGAUCGCAUGAUCAGCUUUUAAAAGGCGGCGUAAGCUGUCGCUAUGGGAUGGCCCCGCGGUGCAUUAGCUAGUUGGUAAGGUAAAGGCUUACCAAGGCGAUGAUGCAUAGCCGAGUUGAGAGACUGAUCGGCCACAUUGGGACUGAGACACGGCCCAAACUCCUACGGGAGGCAGCAGUAGGGAAUCUUCCACAAUGGACGCAAGUCUGAUGGAGCAACGCCGCGUGAGUGAAGAAGGUUUUCGGAUCGUAAAGCUCUGUUGUUGGUGAAGAAGGAUAGAGGUAGUAACUGGCCUUUAUUUGACGGUAAUCAACCAGAAAGUCACGGCUAACUACGUGCCAGCAGCCGCGGUAAUACGUAGGUGGCAAGCGUUGUCCGGAUUUAUUGGGCGUAAAGCGAGCGCAGGCGGAAGAAUAAGUCUGAUGUGAAAGCCCUCGGCUUAACCGAGGAACUGCAUCGGAAACUGUUUUUCUUGAGUGCAGAAGAGGAGAGUGGAACUCCAUGUGUAGCGGUGGAAUGCGUAGAUAUAUGGAAGAACACCAGUGGC